RNAcentral lists this ribosomal RNA (1675 nucleotides) under Escherichia coli. Its description in RNAcentral is "partial 23S ribosomal RNA". It matches the Rfam family "Bacterial large subunit ribosomal RNA", at positions 1270 to 2925 of the family's 2925-position model. The record is from RNAcentral. Lineage: Bacteria; Pseudomonadati; Pseudomonadota; Gammaproteobacteria; Enterobacterales; Enterobacteriaceae.
AUGCUGGAGGUAUCAGAAGUGCGAAUGCUGACAUAAGUAACGAUAAAGCGGGUGAAAAGCCCGCUCGCCGGAAGACCAAGGGUUCCUGUCCAACGUUAAUCGGGGCAGGGUGAGUCGACCCCUAAGGCGAGGCCGAAAGGCGUAGUCGAUGGGAAACAGGUUAAUAUUCCUGUACUUGGUGUUACUGCGAAGGGGGGACGGAGAAGGCUAUGUUGGCCGGGCGACGGUUGUCCCGGUUUAAGCGUGUAGGCUGGUUUUCCAGGCAAAUCCGGAAAAUCAAGGCUGAGGCGUGAUGACGAGGCACUACGGUGCUGAAGCAACAAAUGCCCUGCUUCCAGGAAAAGCCUCUAAGCAUCAGGUAACAUCAAAUCGUACCCCAAACCGACACAGGUGGUCAGGUAGAGAAUACCAAGGCGCUUGAGAGAACUCGGGUGAAGGAACUAGGCAAAAUGGUGCCGUAACUUCGGGAGAAGGCACGCUGAUAUGUAGGUGAAGCGACUUGCUCGUGGAGCUGAAAUCAGUCGAAGAUACCAGCUGGCUGCAACUGUUUAUUAAAAACACAGCACUGUGCAAACACGAAAGUGGACGUAUACGGUGUGACGCCUGCCCGGUGCCGGAAGGUUAAUUGAUGGGGUCAGCGCAAGCGAAGCUCUUGAUCGAAGCCCCGGUAAACGGCGGCCGUAACUAUAACGGUCCUAAGGUAGCGAAAUUCCUUGUCGGGUAAGUUCCGACCUGCACGAAUGGCGUAAUGAUGGCCAGGCUGUCUCCACCCGAGACUCAGUGAAAUUGAACUCGCUGUGAAGAUGCAGUGUACCCGCGGCAAGACGGAAAGACCCCGUGAACCUUUACUAUAGCUUGACACUGAACAUUGAGCCUUGAUGUGUAGGAUAGGUGGGAGGCUUAGAAGUGUGGACGCCAGUCUGCAUGGAGCCGACCUUGAAAUACCACCCUUUAAUGUUUGAUGUUCUAACGUUGACCCGUAAUCCGGGUUGCGGACAGUGUCUGGUGGGUAGUUUGACUGGGGCGGUCUCCUCCUAAAGAGUAACGGAGGAGCACGAAGGUUGGCUAAUCCUGGUCGGACAUCAGGAGGUUAGUGCAAUGGCAUAAGCCAGCUUGACUGCGAGCGUGACGGCGCGAGCAGGUGCGAAAGCAGGUCAUAGUGAUCCGGUGGUUCUGAAUGGAAGGGCCAUCGCUCAACGGAUAAAAGGUACUCCGGGGAUAACAGGCUGAUACCGCCCAAGAGUUCAUAUCGACGGCGGUGUUUGGCACCUCGAUGUCGGCUCAUCACAUCCUGGGGCUGAAGUAGGUCCCAAGGGUAUGGCUGUUCGCCAUUUAAAGUGGUACGCGAGCUGGGUUUAGAACGUCGUGAGACAGUUCGGUCCCUAUCUGCCGUGGGCGCUGGAGAACUGAGGGGGGCUGCUCCUAGUACGAGAGGACCGGAGUGGACGCAUCACUGGUGUUCGGGUUGUCAUGCCAAUGGCACUGCCCGGUAGCUAAAUGCGGAAGAGAUAAGUGCUGAAAGCAUCUAAGCACGAAACUUGCCCCGAGAUGAGUUCUCCCUGACCCUUUAAGGGUCCUGAAGGAACGUUGAAGACGACGACGUUGAUAGGCCGGGUGUGUAAGCGCAGCGAUGCGUUGAGCUAACCGGUACUAAUGAACCGUGAGGCUUAACCUU